RNAcentral lists this transfer RNA (69 nucleotides) under Marmota marmota marmota (Alpine marmot). It matches the Rfam family "tRNA". From Rfam's summary of the family: Transfer RNA (tRNA) molecules are approximately 80 nucleotides in length. Their secondary structure includes four short double-helical elements and three loops (D, anti-codon, and T loops). The record is from Rfam by way of RNAcentral. RNAcentral also lists the same sequence under 2 other names. Lineage: Eukaryota; Metazoa; Chordata; Mammalia; Rodentia; Sciuridae.
GGGGUUGUGGCUCAGUGGUAGAGCAUUUGCCUAGCAUGCAUGAGGCACUGGGUUCAAUCCCCAGCACCA